UUGGCUUUUUUUUUUUUUUUUGUGCUGGCUGUGCACUAAAAAGAAUAUACUGCUGGGAGGGAGAGUAAAGAAGAGUUGGAGGUUGCCUUUAAGGUUUCUUAGGCCAGUGAGAGGAAUAGUGAGGAUUUUCCUGCAGAUAUUGCAGUAUGAGCUCAGACUCUGUUUCAGACUUGUCACCAAGCUGUCAGGCUGGGAAGAUGAGAAGGGACAGUGGGAGCUGGCUGUGGAAGCUGGCCUUUCCCACUUGGAAGGAUGUGCUCCUCCAUGAUAUGUGCAGCACACACCCCACAGCACACCUGGUCUGCUGCCCAGGUGUCUCCACUAAAUUUCUUCUUGGAAAGGAGGAGAGCAGCAAAUUGUAGCAGCAGAUCAUAGGGAAGGGGAGAGGCAGCAGCCAGGUCCCUUCUUAGUAAUUUCAGGGAAGAUUUGGGGUUUGUCUUAACUUGAAGCAGCUAACCAGACCAAGAAGAAAGAGCACUCUCACUUGCCCAAGAGAAAUUAAAAUUUUGCUGUAAUGAGGCAAAAUCUUCAGUGAAUUAGAUCCAGUAGCAAGGUAUGGGCAGAUCCUCCUGGACAGAGAGGACAUCACACCUUCAGCACUCUUUUUGAUAGACCUCUUGAGACUGCUUGGCAGAUGUGGGAAGUAAAGAUUGUGUUCAACUGGGUGAUGUCCCAGCUGUGCCAUGGGCUGUGGAGGGAAAGGCUACAGUGACAGUGCAAAAGGGAGAGCACUUCUCACCACUGCUGGCAGAAAACCUAUCCUUGCUCCCUGCACACUCCCACUCUCUGUCCCCUCUGUCCCUUGGCUUGUUCUUCACUUCCCAGCUGAAGUCCUUGCAGAGGGACCAAGCCCUGGACAGUUCAGGGCACUUCAGGUCUGAGGGAGAGGCUGCAGUGGUGGGGAAGGGGAUGAGGAGCUGCACAUGGAAACAUCAGAAAUGAUCACUUGAGGAAGUCCAGAGGAAAUACAAUUAUCUUCUAAUGAUGACAACAGACCAGAGAUGUGGACACAUGUCAUGGUUACAGGACAACCCAUGCAGGGACCCCUGAUCACAAGGACUUGGGGACUGCAAGUCCUCCCUAAAACAGAACAGCAAGCUAACAGCCAGCUACUGGGCUCGAGCAACUUCUCUUUGUAAACUCCUUUGCCAUGGUAGAAAGAGGCCCAGAAAAGAGACCUCAAUUCUUUGAAGUGAGCACUGAAAUUAUUGCCAAGGACUCAUGGCAAAAGAUCGUGGGAAAAGACUUUCUAUUGAUUUUUUUUUUUAAUUAGUUACUUAAAGCUUCCUCAUCUUGGCCAAGGAAAUGUAACCAUUCACUAUUGCCUGCUGCUCAGAAUAGCUCCUGCACCCAUUCAUCAUGCACUAGGAGAUGUAAGCUCCUUGUUCUAGGAUUGAAACUCCUUUGGGAAAGUUUUCAGUUAAGGCUAAGGCAGCUCCUCAGUUUUGGUUAGAUUAUAUAUGCCUUUUUAAAUACUCUAAAAUAUCUUUGGAUCUCAAUCCCUAACGAGCAGUUGGGGCAUUGCAGGGGCCAGCACCAGCUGCUGAGAAGCAGAGGUGAGAACCCUGCUGGAAGAGCUGUGGGACAGAUGUCCCCACACAUCAGGUCCCAUCACAGCCUGCACCUGGCAGGGCUGCAAAGGGGAGCUGCAUUUCCCAAACUGCCUCUCUUGCUUUUGCUGGAGAUUCUGGGUAACUGCACUUACGUACGUGAGAGCCCAGAAGAGUCAGAAAGAAACAGCCUCAGGAUGAUUUAGUAGAUCUGCACUGUCAGCCAGCUGGAGUGCUUGGAAGUGCUCACCUCUACCAGCAAGAUGCUGGGGCUGCUCUGGAUUCCUGGGGGGGAUUUUAGCAUCACCAAUUCCUGUUUGUGUGCUGUGAUUUGCCCCCAGGCUGCAGUGUGGCUCCAGGAACACCCUGCUCCAUUUCACCCAGGAAAAGGGUCUGCAGUGAUCUUCAUCAGCAAGGAUCAGUGAUGCUGAUGGAGGAAAAUGUGAGAAACUGAGUUCCUCUGUGCAGGGGGUACAUGGAUCAGGACAAACCAGCCUGGGAAAGUAAUGGUGAAAGAAAGUGUGGAUCUUGUGCCUGGCUCAGCCAGCCACCUUGGGGAAGUGACCUUGGCCUUAUCUACACAGAGACAACCAGGAAAAUGAAUCUGAAUUAACCUUUGCAAAUUGGAUUAGCUAAACUUCAUUAAACUGUCUAUGUGGACAUUCCUGUUCAGAAUUCAAGUAGCCUCCACUCAUCCUGGCUUACCUCAUGUCCACAAGAAGUGAGAAGAAACUCAGCUUUUUUUUUUUUUUUUUUUUUUUUUUUUUUUUUUUUUUUUUUCCCAUUGUGAGUAAGUACAGUUUAACUAAACCACUGUAACAUCCAACUUCAGACUAAUGAUCCCCCAUGGUCUCACGUGUCUUUGUCUUCCUGCCACCCCAUCUAUUUGGACAAGGAGCUCUAGAGUCUCUGGAUGAAGGAGCAGCUCUGACUGUAUGCACAGACCAUGCCUACUGCAGGAUCAACACCACCUGUAGAUGAAAUGUAGCCUCAAGCUGUGCCUGGGAGGUUAAGCUGGGCACCAGGAGGAAUUUCUUCAGAGAAAGAUUUGUCAAGCAUUGGGUUGUCACCAUCCCUGGGAGUGUUCAAGAAAGGAUUGCACACUGGUCUAGCUGACAAAAUGGUUUUCAGCCACAGGCUGGACUCAGUAAUCUCAGAGGCCUUUUCCAACCUGAAGGAUAUUGUAAUUCUGUGAUUCUGUGACUCUUUCACAGAAGUAAUACUGGUGCAAUUGUAAAGCUGUUGAUUUGGGUAGGAGAAUGUCUAUCGGGGUGGGUUGGUUUGAACCCAGCAAAACAAAAGUCUCAUCACACCUGAUGGACCUGACUACCUGGAAAGGCAAGAAAGCAGGGGUGAUAAGGGAAUAUUGAGUUGUUUCCCUUAGCUGUAGUAAAGCUUUCAAUGCUCACUCUCCCUAGAGCCAGGCUGGGGAGAUAUGGGCCCAGUAAAUAGGAAAGAAGGAAGCUGGAGGAUAGGUUGGACUGUUGCACUCACAGGGUGGUGAUCAGAAGUACAGAGCCCACUUGGCAACUCGUUGCUGUUGAGAUCCUGGGGGGCUGGUACUGAUGGCCUGGAUAAUUGGGCACAAUCUCAGGAAGUUUUCGGAAGCCACCAAAGGAAGCAGCGGGGAGGGAAGCACUUGACACCCAAGAGGCAGCAGCUGCUGUUCAGAGGGAGUGGAGAAAUGGGCAGACAAGUGCACAGUCCUAAUGGAAUAACCUCACAAGGGAGCAGGACAGGCCAGGGGACAGCUGGGCUGGGAAGCAGCUUGAUAGGAAGGGAGGUGGGGUUGUGGGUGACUCAGGAAUUGAACAGGGAUCAUUGCAGAGGUGAGCUACACCCUCAGCUCUGUGAGCAAGGAGGCAGGCAGCACACCAAGGGAGUGAGAAUCCCCUCGGUUUGGCCCUUCUGAGAUUGUUUUGGAAACACUGGGUCCUGUUUGGGGCUUCCUAGGACAAAAUCAGCAUUGACAGAUUGAAGCAGGUCCAGCAGAGGCCACUGGUGGAUGGUUGAGGUACAAGGAGAGGCAAAACCAGCCAGGUUUGUUCAUCCUGGAGGAGAAUAGGAGGAAGAUCAAACUGAUUUCUGCAGUUCCCUGAAGGAAGGGAUAGAAAAGACAGAACUCCUGGAGGUGCAGAGCCAGGCUGGGUUCUAUGUUCUAGGGCCUAAAUCUGGGCUUUGAGUGCCAGGCUCACCUGCAGUUCCUCAAAGGAAAGGGGUGCUCACACCAUGAUGCCAUUCUACUUGGGGUGUGAGGAUGCUCUCUGUCAUCAUGUUUGGGCAUUGCUGGUGAGGGUUAGAGAAGUAGGUCCUCCUUAUUCCUAUAAACUGGAUUAGUAGAGUAGUAAACAUAUAAUAAAGUAAUAAUAAACAUUUCUAGAGUGAUUAAUCUGCUAAUUGAGGAAUCAGUCCGGUCUCACUUCAUAUGUAAAGGUGUGUUUGCCAAAACCACUCCUUUGAACUUGCUCAUACCUUUCCAUCUGUGGUUCCACAUUUUCCUUUAGAACUCCAGUGAAGCCUGUGAGAUGUGCCACUGAAUUUACCCUUGCUCACCAGGCAGGAAACUGAGGUUCAGAGAAGCCAAGCAACUUGUUUGGAGUCAUGGUUGAGUCUGGCACUCAGGGUGUCCUGCUUGGUCCCACAGAAAGCUGGCAGAGGAAUUUUAAAUACUGGAUAAGACUCUGCACAGAAGACAGAGUAGUUUGGGCUGGUGUAGAAGAGGUUUUACAGCAAGUUCUGUGAGCCAGAGAGAAGUUUGAUAAGAGGAUCCAUGUUUGAUAAGAAGAUCCAUGUUUACCCCUGAAAGAAUUUUCUACCAAGGUCGUUGACAUAGAAACCAAGAAAGAAAGAAGGAUAAAUAAGAGAAACCUGCAGCUGCCUGUUCCAAUGAGCACUUUGUCUCUUGUGACCAAAGAGUAAAGUGUAAACUUAUGAAAUUUGUAAGAAUGUAUAAAAGCAUGCAUGUUAUAGUAAAAACAGGUCUGAAGCCUUCUGAAAA
Molecule: non-coding RNA, 4548 nt
Organism: Taeniopygia guttata (zebra finch)
Lineage: Eukaryota; Metazoa; Chordata; Aves; Passeriformes; Estrildidae
Source: RefSeq, a predicted model, not a curated record